Molecule: long non-coding RNA, 1799 nt
Organism: Sphaerodactylus townsendi
Lineage: Eukaryota; Metazoa; Chordata; Lepidosauria; Squamata; Sphaerodactylidae
Exons: 2
Source: RefSeq, a predicted model, not a curated record
AAGGAGGUGUGGUGCUGCUGCUGCUGCAGAAAUGCAGACUGGGGGGUGGGUGGGGGGAGGAUGAUAGAUCAACCCAGUAUUACAAAGUGGGGAAACACAAAACUGGUACAUAGGGGCAUACUCGCUCAUUUCCCGAUCUCUGUAAUCUACUCACCCCUAGUGUAUUUUGUUCAGCUUUCUCUGAAAGGCUGUGUAGUUCUCCCUUUUAUCCUUUGAAGUAGGUGAAACUGAAAGGGAAUGACUAGCCCAGGGCCCAUGGGCCAGUGAUGGCAGAAUGGGGAUUUGGGUCUGGCUCUUCCUAGCUCCUCCACUGAUGCAUUGCGUUGGUUCUUUGCUGGUUUCAUGGGGUGGAGGAGCCUUCUCCUUCUAUGUCUGGCAUGCCGCAGUGUUAUCGCUGUGGUUCUUGAAACUUUAGCGACCCAAAUUGAUUUAAUACGUCCUGCAUGGUGUGGUGGUUAAGAGUGGUGGACUCUCAUCUAGAGAACCAGUUCGAUUCCCCGCUCCUCCACCUCCUGCUGGGUGACCUUGGCCUACUCACACUUCUCUCAGAGCUCUCUUAACCCCAUGUUGUGGGGAGAGGAAAUAUUGUAAGCCACUCUGAGACCCCUUAAAGGUAGAGAAUAGGGGGGUACAAAACCAGCUGUUCGAAGUCUCAUGGGUUCGAUUCCCAAGCCCUCCUCCCUUGCUGAUGCCCACCAUUCAUCCCCCUUGUCAAAGUUGUGCAUCCCCCAUGGGGGUGUCUGUGCCUCAUAUCCCCCAGACAGCCCCAAAAGGACCAUAUCAGCUAUCCUUUAAAAGCAAGUUUAAGCAAAACCUUUGUAUGGUUCUCAGAGACUAGCCAAAGGCUCACAGUGGGGAAAGAACCUGACUUCAAUGUAUUGCCGAAGGCUUUCACGGCCGGACUCAAUUGGUUGUUGUGGGCUUUCCGGGCUGUGUGGCCGUGAUCUGGUAGGUCUUGUUCUUAACAUUUCGCCUGCAUCUGUGGCACAGAUCAGGUGAAAUGUUAACAACAAGAUGUACCAGAUCACGGCCACAUAGCCUGGAAAGCCCACAAUUAACCUGACUUCAGUUCUGAUCCAUCUCAUCCCUUGACUGGAAGAUAUAUCCUUCUUGGUGAAUCACAUCUAGGUAGCAGACUUUCAGAGCUGUUCCUAGAAACAGAAGAGAGCCAGUUUGAUUUUACAAUGGAAAUAACUAUAUUGACACUGUUGAGACUAUAUCCUGGCCUAUCUCAUAACCACUUAAAAGUUCAUAAGGUUAGUUCUAAGUGAACAUUCUACUCAUUUUGUGCCGAGUGUUUUGAUGCGGGUGGGAUGCUGGCUUUUAUCUCUUCAAAUGAGGGGAUAGUUUUCACAGUAGACGGAUGGGUUCAAAGCUGCUUCAACCUAUAAACUUUCAGCCCACUACCCUUGCUGAACCCUGAAGGAUUCUUGGUCCCCACUUUGACAAAUUGUGCCUUCGAUACAUCCCUGCUGAUGGUCCAAACCCAGUUAAGUGUUUUCACGUCUGAUAGGGUUUUUUCAGACUGAUUGAAGCAUUGAAGGCCAUGAUUGAAGUGAAUGAACUGUACAACUGACCACAACCUAGCCACUGGGAAGCAAUGUACCCAGUUGCUGGUACAGGGAAAAAAUGGGGAGGGCAUAGCCAUCUAACAGAUACCCUUUCUGUGCCAAAAAUAACACCGCACAGGAUACAUUAGUGCUGCUGCAUGCAAAUCAAGCUGUCUCUCAGUGUGCACCUGCAGCAUGUUCCAGAAGUACAAGAAUGCAUAACGCAAAUGUCCAGUGUUAAAAUGCUAA